This 383-nucleotide ribosomal RNA is filed under the name uncultured eukaryote. Its description in RNAcentral is "partial 18S ribosomal RNA". It matches the Rfam family "Eukaryotic small subunit ribosomal RNA", at positions 592 to 976 of the family's 1831-position model. The record is from RNAcentral.
CAAUAGCGUAUAUUAAAGUUGUUGCAGUUAAAAAGCUCGUAGUUGGAUUUCUGGUGGGAGCGGUCGGUCUGGCGCUUAGCGCGAGUACUUGCAUCGUCUCCGGCCAUCCUUGGGGAGAGUCUGUCUGGCAUUAGGUUGUCGGGCAGAGGAUCCUCAUCGUUUACUGUGAAAAAAUUAGAGUGUUCAAAGCAGGCUUAUGCCGUUGAAUAUAUUAGCAUGGAAUAAUAAGAUAGGACUUUGGUACUAUUUUGUUGGUCUGCGCACCAAAGUAAUGAUUAAUAGGGACAGUUGGGGGUAUUCGUAUUCCGUUGUCAGAGGUGAAAUUCUUGGAUUUACGGAAGACGAACUACUGCGAAAGCAUUUACCAAGGAUGUUUUCAUUAA